This 1630-nucleotide long non-coding RNA is filed under the name Homo sapiens (human). RNAcentral's name for it is "HSALNT0369901". Lineage: Eukaryota; Metazoa; Chordata; Mammalia; Primates; Hominidae. The record is from RNAcentral.
UUCUGGGCACCUAGCUGUCUGUCAGAGCUAUUCUGACCUCCCUUCAGGUGGUGUGUACACCAGCGUAUUCAGUGACUUGCCAAAUCCAGUUAUCCUUGGAACCUUUACACCUUUUGGAUGUGGCAGCAUUUCUUUUCCUAAGAGUCAUUCAACAGUUUCGAAAGACAGAUGAGCAAGCAUGAUGUAAUUUUACGGCAUUUUAAUUGAACAUCUUAUUCUGUGACACUACAGACAAGAUGGAAAAGUAAUCAUGACUUUCACGAAGAAAAAAUGGAUUUCACUUGAUAUUCCAGGGAUUGUUAAAGUUAGGUUCUUUUGACACUGUUUCUGGUGUCCUUGUUCAUUCCUGGACUUUGGGAGAAAUUUAAUUUAUAGUUGAGCUUUGAAACAAAGGCAAUAACAAUCCUUUCCCAAAACAGACCUCCUUACUCCAUGUGGACUAGACUGCCUGAAGCCACAAGAUUAGAAGUUACGGUACUGAUAUGAAGUGAACUGCCAAGGAUGUUCAGAAGCAUCUGAGAUCAGUGUUCAGUUUCAUCUGUAGCAGGACGAGCUACAGACAAAACCCCUCAGACACCGAGUUAAAGAAGGAAGGACUUUAUUCAGCCGAGAGCUUCGGCAAGACUCACGCCUCCAACAACCGAGCAAUUCCUGUCCCUUUUAAGGGCUCACAACUCUAAGGGAGUCUGCGUGAGAGGGUCGUGAUCAAUGGAGCAAGCAGGGGACAAACAGUAGCAGUGAUGUUUAAUUAGGAAGGAGGCCUGGUGAUCAGCAGAAAAGGAAACAUCAUAAGGGAAUGGACCUGGCCUUCAAAAGGAAAACUUGAUAAUCCAGUGGAAAUUUGGGAUUAAUUCAAACACUUCUGAGCUGCCAGUCUGAAACUGUGUCCGGAAUUGGUGGAUUCUUGGUCUCACUGACUUCAAGAAUGAAGCCGCGGACCCUCGCAGUAAAUAGGUUCAUCACUGUGAAGAUUUCUGGACAUUCUGCCACCACCUUGGUCUACAAGUGGCAUUCCCAAAGCCUGAAGCUAUCUUUGGCACCUGUAAAACGCCAGCCUUUCCCUCCAUGCCUACCCAAAGUGGAAUGGAACCGCAGCACAUUUGCAAAAUAACCAAGUUUCCACAAAUAGUACCCAGGAAAGAGAACGCCUCAUCAGCAAAAGUUUCUCUGAAACAAGGUGCAAAGGAGAAAGGCGAGGAUAAGGAGUACCUUCAAUGCCGAAAUACCUUCCUAGAACAAAAGGGUGUCUUGAAGCCUUUGCCUCUUUGUCACAUCCGGAAGGCCCCAGCCGGCAAUCAGACCUUCCGGUGUUUCUAGGACUAUGGGCUUGUAACCUGCUGAGCUAGGUUUCACCUGCAGAUACAAAGAAGCUGGUUCACCUGCAGAUACAGAGAAACUGGGUGGAUGGGAGGGUAGAAUCACAGAGUCAUUCGGAUUCCUUUCGGUUGCUCAAAUAUAACAUUGUAUCUGCUUCUAAAUUCAUGGGCAACAAUUGUCCUCUUCUGGUUCAAAGGCACAAUAUAAUCCCAGGAAUUUUUUUGCAAUCCAGGGGGUAGGUACUAAUUUUAUCCCUGAUAACAGAGGUGGAAACUGAGACACAGGUUAACUUAUCUAAGGUCAAGGAGCUCGC